CAACCGCCCGAGGAGCCGCCGGGUAGUGUUCCCAUGCGGAGGGAGGGAUCUUUCAGGAAAGUCCCUCUGUCACCACUUGGGCUGCACUGGACUCCGGGCCCCGUGGCAGGUGGCAGCCGAGUUAAGCCAACGGUGGGCAGCGGGGCCUCCCCCCGCCCAGGCUGCACAGGAAAAUGCCAUUCGUUAGGCCGGAGAAAAACAGGGAGAGGGAUGUCCCCAGUGAUGGAUUAUUACUUCAUCUGAUGCUAGGGAUUGUGGAGCUUGGGACAUGGGACCCUUCACACAGCAGACCUUAAACCCCAAGGAGCCCUCCGAAGGCCGGGCCACGCGCGGGAGGGGGUGACUGCCAAGUUCACCCCCACCUCGAAGCAUUCACAUUGUAAAAGAUCAUAAAACCCUGAACUGGCCCUACAAAACCCAAACACAGCUGCAGGCCAAUCUGGCACCCACGCUGCCCUCCCCGCCCGCUCUUCGGUUAAGCAGAGAUUAUAAAGAUCAUCAAAGCCUUGGAAAUCCUGCUGCUGGUUUGAAAAACCCUGCCUGCUGACUUUAUGACUAAAUAAUUUCUGACUGGGUCAAAAUGACACUUUCUCAUCCCCAGAAGUUUGUAAACAUUGUGCUAUCAUGUUCUGGCUUUGAAUAUUGCUGAGAAAUCUAAGGCAACCCUAAUUUUGCUCCUUACGGGGCCAGUCUGUCUACCCCAUUUGGAGCUCCAACGUGUUGGAGUCGCUUUGGAGCCACUGACUUUAGUGGGUAAGAUCCACUUGCCCACCGAGGGCACUUGGGAGGCGCGUGAGGGAGGGCCGGCCGUCCUACUGAGGGGACCUCUGACUUCUCCCUUGAAGUCCCGUGAACACCUUGCACCUGUGCCCGCCCGCCAGCCGUGGGGACAUCCCCUCCGGUCACCGCCUCCCCCGCCCAGGGACCCGGAAGGCCAGGGCCUUGGAAGCCCUGCCUGCCUCGGGCCAGGCCCCGCAGGGAGCAGAGCCGGCGACACCCGAGGAUCUCCUGUACUUUUCCAGGGCUGACCACGUGCCCCCUCUGCUUGCUGCUACCCGACUGGUGACACCAGUCCCCGUCCUCAGAGUGCUCAGUGCCGCUCCUGCUGAGCGAGUGCGAAGAAAGGGGCUACAGCACAACCCCUCGCACCAUCCUUAGCCAUCACCUUAGAAGUUUAGGCCCUAAAGUUGUCCUUUGUUCAUUCAUGCAUUGUUGCCUUUUUUUAAGAUCAUUUAAUCUGGCUUUGUUUGGCCAUUUGUAUUCAGAGGUCACUGUGCCCUUCUGUUUUCAAACCUUAUAAACUUAUAAUAAUAGGCAUACAGAAAAUAUCUGGAGAAAUAUUGCCACUACACAAUUUGUUAAAAGUAAACAUUGUUGGGGGCACCUGGGGAGCUCAGGGGUUGAGCGUCUGCCUUGGGCCCAGGGCGUGAUCCUGGGUCCCGGGAUCGAGUCCCGCAUCGAGCUCCCUGCAUGGAGCCUGCUUCUCCCUCUGC
Long non-coding RNA from Canis lupus familiaris (dog), 1493 nucleotides. RefSeq lists it as uncharacterized. The record is from RefSeq and is a predicted model, not a curated record. The transcript is spliced from 3 exons. NCBI's taxonomy places the organism in Eukaryota, Metazoa, Chordata, Mammalia, Carnivora, Canidae.